AAGUAGCGGGCCUUUUCAUCCGGUUGCUGAGGUUCUUACAGUUAAGUAUUUUAAAUAACGUCAUACGCAAAGGUUUGCGAUCGGAAAUAACAAAUGGCGGUAUGAUCUAGCACCGAAAACUUAGUCAACUUUAAGCUGAAGAAAGCUUGUUUAGCUUAUAGCAACUCAAGGUAUUCUGCAAAUGAGGUGAAACAGAAUGCUACAGUUAAGUUUCGAGCAUCUUCUAUAUUGGGGUUAAUAACUAACAGCUUUAACAUUUGCUGUAUUAAGAUCAAAGGCCAACAUCUUAAAUAUUUACUAUUCAAGUUGUUAUAAGUGUUCAAUUAUUUUGUCACAUAUCAGUAUGCUCAGUGUGUCACUAAAUAAACUGUUUUCGAAGGA
This 381-nucleotide long non-coding RNA is filed under the name Limulus polyphemus (Atlantic horseshoe crab). RNAcentral's name for it is "uncharacterized LOC111087851, transcript variant X2". The record is from RNAcentral. Lineage: Eukaryota; Metazoa; Arthropoda; Merostomata; Xiphosura; Limulidae.